AUGAAGCUUCGUUCCUAUCUGGACCAUAUUCACGCAACUGAUUCUUUCACUGUUCUCCAAGCGUCUUAUCAAGAUCUGCGGGAGAAUGAGGGAGGAUCCGUUUUCUUUCGAAAUGCUGUUUCCCACAACCGGGAUCUCCUUGAGGCGGAAAGCUCCGCAAGGAGGUGCCUGGAAGUGGAACAGAGGAUCCGGUGGGAAGAAAUCCCCAAGAGCAAGGCAAGUCUCGAAAGAGCUGAGCACGAGCAUGCUCUCGACUUGUUUAAGUCGGAGGAUCUUAGAAGGGAAUUAGAAAAAAAAAGAGCGGGGUAG
RNAcentral lists this ribosomal RNA (309 nucleotides) under Triticum aestivum (bread wheat). RNAcentral's name for it is "partial small subunit ribosomal RNA". The record is from RNAcentral. Lineage: Eukaryota; Viridiplantae; Streptophyta; Magnoliopsida; Poales; Poaceae.